RNAcentral lists this ribosomal RNA (253 nucleotides) under uncultured bacterium. Its description in RNAcentral is "partial 16S ribosomal RNA". It matches the Rfam family "Bacterial small subunit ribosomal RNA", at positions 524 to 776 of the family's 1533-position model. The record is from RNAcentral.
UACGUAGGGUGCAAGCGUUGUCCGGAAUUAUUGGGCGUAAAGAGCUCGUAGGCGGUCUGUUGCGUCGGCUGUGAAAACCCGGGGCUCAACCCCGGGCCUGCAGCCGAUACGGGCAGACUAGAGUUCGGCAGGGGAGACUGGAAUUCCUGGUGUAGCGGUGCAAUGCGCAGAUAUCAGGAGGAACACCGGUGGCGAAGGCGGGUCUCUGGGCCGAUACUGACGCUGAGACGCGAAAGCGUGGGGAGCGAACAGG